UGACUUUCAACGAGAAGAUGUGUUUGCUCGUAAACAUUGGAAGCAAGUACAGUAUCUUACGGAUACCUUUUGGAAACGCUGGCAAAAAGAGUAUCUUUCUACGCUACAAGAACGUGCAAAGUGGCUAAAGCCAAAACGUAAUUUAUCAGUGAACGAUAUAGUUUUAGUAGUUGAUGACAAUGCUCCCAGAAAUCAAUGGUGUAUGGGACGAAUAAUUGAAACAUUUAGUGACGCAAACGGAUUAGUACGUAGUGGUGUUGUUAAAACUCAGACAUCAGUUAUUCACAGAUCGACCUGUUACCAAAUUGAUAUGUUUAAUGCCGUAAAUUUAGUUUGUCCAUUUUAAUUUGUAUGUAAAAUGAUAUGUUAUGGGUUUUUCACUUCUACCGUAAUCUUUUAUAGUAAACAAUAAAUUGUUCAGGGGCCGGUAUGUUACGGCAGAAGUCCUUAUUUGCGUCAAUAUUUGAUCGGUGUCCAUAAAUUAGACGAUGCAGAAUCCUAGUGCAUAAUUUGUACUAUACGUAACCAUGUAACCGCAAAAAUGGCUGCCGUUUGGGCAGUAAAAAACGAAAACGCAACGAUGAAUAACGUCCCUAAGUCCCCUCACAAGUUUGAAACCGCAUGUUCGUUUGUUGAUUGAACCGCAAGUUCGUUUGUUGAAUUGCUCUACUUAUGUUCACUUCGCUCAGUUUAUAAUGGGCAUUGAAUUGUUUAAGCCUUCUACAAAAUGUGUUAGUAACGAAUAAUGUUGGACAUGUAUUUCAACGCAACGUAAUGAUGUAACGUCCAUUCCUGUAUUUAACGCAAUGUUCAUUCCCGUAUGUAUUUAACGCAACGUACCGAUGUAAUAAACGUAAAGUAAUAAACCUAUUCACAAACUGAA
This is a long non-coding RNA of Patella vulgata (common limpet), 883 nucleotides long. RefSeq lists it as uncharacterized. The transcript is spliced from 2 exons. Lineage: Eukaryota; Metazoa; Mollusca; Gastropoda; Patellidae. The record is from RefSeq and is a predicted model, not a curated record.